Vombatus ursinus (common wombat) is the source of this 163-nucleotide long non-coding RNA. RefSeq lists it as uncharacterized. The record is from RefSeq and is a predicted model, not a curated record. The transcript has 3 exons. NCBI's taxonomy places the organism in Eukaryota, Metazoa, Chordata, Mammalia, Diprotodontia, Vombatidae.
GCCGCCACCUCCUCGGCAGGCGGGCGGGCGGGCAGGCGGGCGAGCCUGGGGAAGAAGAAACUGCUGUUUUUGGAGAAGACUUGGGUUUAAAUACCAGCUCUGCCCCUUAAUUCGUUUAUCCUUGAAGAGGCAGCGUGGUGUAGUGGAAAGAGAACUGGAUUUG